GAUGAACGCUGGCGGCGUGCCUAAUACAUACAAGUCGAACGGAGUGCAGCGAUGCAUUCAGUGGCGAACGGGUGAGUAACGCGUUGGUAACCUGCCCUGGAGAGAGGGAUAACAGGCCGAAAGCGUGCUAAUACCGCAUGAUCAGUGGAGGAAUAGCAGCUUCACUGCAAAGGGAGUAAUCCGCUCUGGGAGGGGCCGCGACCCAUCAGCUAGUUGGUAAGGUAACGGCCUACCAAGGCGAUGACGGGUAGGGGACCUGAGAGGGUGGCCCCCCACAAUGGAACUGAAACACGGUCCAUACACCUACGGGUGGCAGCAGUAGGGAAUAUUGCAUAAUGGGCGAAAGUCUGAUGCAGCUACGCCGCGUGUGCGAUGAAGGCCUUCGGGUUGUAAAGCACUUUUGACCGGGAAGAGGAAGGACGGUACCGGUGGAAUAAGCCUCGGCUAACUACGUGCCAGCAGCCGCGGUAAAACGUAGGAGGCGAGCGUUAUCCGGAUUUACUGGGUGUAAAGCGCGUGCAGGCGGUCAGCUAAGUUGGGUGUGAAAGCUCCUGGCUCAACUAGGAGAGGUCGCUCAAGACUGGCGGACUGGAGAGCAGUAAGGGAAGGUGGAAUUCCGGGUGUAGUGGUGAAAUGCGUAGAUAUCCGGAGGAACACCAGUGGCGAAAGCGGCCUUCUGGACUGUAUCUGACGCUCAGACGCGAAAGCUAGGGGAGCAAACGGGAUUAGAGACCCCGGUAGUCCUAGCUGUAAACGAUGUGAACUUGGCGCUGGAUGGGUAAAACCGAUCAGUGCCGGAGCAAACGCGAUAAGUUCACCACCUGAGGACUACGGCCGCAAGGUUAAAACUCAAAGGAAUUGACGGGGGCCCGCACAAGCAGCGGAGCGUGUGGUUUAAUUCGAUGCUACACGAAGAACCUUACCAGGGUUUGACAUGUUUGUGGUAGCGAAGUGAAAGCGGAGCGACUUCGGGGAGCAAACACAGGUGCUGCAUGGCUGUCGUCAGCUCGUGUCGUGAGAUGUUCGGUUAAGUCCGCUAACGAGCGCAACCCUCUCUGCGUGAUUACAAGUGUCACGCGGGACUGCCAGUCUUAAGCUGGAGGAAGGUGGGGAUGACGUCAAGUCAGCAUGGCCUUUAUAUCCUGGGCUACACACACGCUACAAUGGCCGGUACAAUGGGUCGCGAAGUCGCGAGGCGAANCCAAUCCACAAAGCCGGUCUCGGUUCAGAUUGCAGGCUGCAACCCGCCUGCAUGAAGACGGAGUUGCUAGUAACCGCAGGUCAGCUAUACUGCGGUGAAUACGUUCCCGGGCCUUGUACACACCGCCCGUCACGUCAUGGGAGCUGGUAACACCUGAAAGCCGGUAUUCUAACCGCAAGGAGGGAACCGUCGAGGGUGGGGCUGGUGACUGGGACG
This 1417-nucleotide ribosomal RNA is filed under the name uncultured bacterium. RNAcentral describes it as "bacterial SSU rRNA". It matches the Rfam family "Bacterial small subunit ribosomal RNA". The record is from RNAcentral.